RNAcentral lists this ribosomal RNA (489 nucleotides) under uncultured bacterium. RNAcentral describes it as "partial 16S ribosomal RNA". It matches the Rfam family "Bacterial small subunit ribosomal RNA", at positions 30 to 507 of the family's 1533-position model. The record is from RNAcentral.
UUGAACGCUGGCGGCAGGCCUAACACAUGCAAGUCGCACGGUAACAGGAAGAAGCUUGCUUCUUUGCUGACGAGUGGCGGACGGGUGAGUAAUGUCUGGGAAACUGCCUGAUGGAGGGGGAUAACUACUGGAAACGGUAGCUAAUACCGCAUAACGUCGCAAGACCAAAGAGGGGGACCUUCGGGCCUCUUGCCAUCGGAUGUGCCCAGAUGGGAUUAGCUAGUAGGUGGGGUAACGGCUCACCUAGGCGACGAUCCCUAGCUGGUCUGAGAGGAUGACCAGCCACACUGGAACUGAGACACGGUCCAGACUCCUACGGGAGGCAGCAGUGGGGAAUAUUGCACAAAGGGCGCAAGCCUGAUGCAGCCAUGCCGCGUGUAUGAAGAAGGCCUUCGGGUCGUAAAGUACUUUCAGCGGGGAGGAAGGGAGUAAAGUUAAUACCUUUGCUCAUUGACGUUACCCGCAGAAGAAGCACCGGCUAACUCCGUG